ACGUGAAACCUUGUGGGAAGCAGGGAGGACCACCUCCCAAGGCUAAAUACUACCUGAUGACCGAUAGUGAAGCAGUACCGUGAGGGAAAGGUGAAAAGAACCCCGGGAGGGGAGUGAAAUAGAACCUGAAACCGUGUGCCUACAACCGCUCAGAGCCCCUUAUGAGGGUGAUGAGGUGCUUUUUGUAGAACGAGCCAACGAGUUACGGUAUGUAGCAAGGUUAAGUACUUAAGGUACGGAGCCGAAGGGAAACCGAGUCUGAAUAGGGCGACUAGUUGCAUGCCGUAGACCCGAAACCGGGUGACCUAUCCAUGGCCAGGUUGAAGCGAGGGUAAAACCUCGUGGAGGACCGAACCACGUUGCUGUUGAAAAAGCAUGGGAUGAGCUGUGGAUAGCGGAGAAAUUCCAAUCGAACCCGGAGAUAGCUGGUUCUCUCCGAAAUAGCUUUAGGGCUAGCGUCGAGUAUGAGUAGUGGAGGUAGAGCACUGAAUGGGCUAGGGGGCAUAGCGCUUACCGAACCUUAUCAAACUCCGAAUGCCACAUACUUUGAGCUCGGCAGUCAGACUACGAAUGAUAAGAUCCGUGGUCAAAAGGGAAACAGCCCAGAUCGUCAGCUAAGGUCCCAAAGUGUAAGUUAAGUGGGAAAGGAUGUGAGAUUUCUAAGACAACUAGGAUGUUGGCUUAGAAGCAGCCAUUCAUUAAAAGAGUGCGUAAUAGCUCACUAGUCGAGAGAUCUUGCGCCGAAAAUGUAACGGGGCUAAACUUACCA
This 769-nucleotide ribosomal RNA is filed under the name Clostridium perfringens. Its description in RNAcentral is "partial 23S ribosomal RNA". It matches the Rfam family "Bacterial large subunit ribosomal RNA", at positions 424 to 1193 of the family's 2925-position model. The record is from RNAcentral. Lineage: Bacteria; Bacillati; Bacillota; Clostridia; Eubacteriales; Clostridiaceae.